UGGGUCGCGCAGUACCCCUACACUCCACCACAGUACCCCUACACUCCACCGCAGUACUUCGUCCGCAGCGCCGAGGAGGACCCCAACUCCUGCGUCAUCUGCUGAUGGCGACGCCGAUCGGGAGGUCCCGGUUUUUUCGUAGCUGGCCUGCCUGCCUACCUCGAGCUCCAGCGUCAGUGAUGGCCGAUCGGGCCCCCGGGGGUGUUGGUGGUUGGCUGCUGUGCUCAUCUCUAUCCUUGGGUUGGUUGGCCCGUCCGCAGGUCGUUGUAUGAUGAUGAUGGCCGGAGCAAUUACUUACUAUACAC
This 305-nucleotide long non-coding RNA is filed under the name Setaria italica (foxtail millet). Its description in RNAcentral is "long non-coding RNA (SITA_LNC001787)". Lineage: Eukaryota; Viridiplantae; Streptophyta; Magnoliopsida; Poales; Poaceae. The record is from RNAcentral.